This 738-nucleotide small RNA is filed under the name Pan troglodytes (chimpanzee). Its description in RNAcentral is "retained intron". Lineage: Eukaryota; Metazoa; Chordata; Mammalia; Primates; Hominidae. The record is from RNAcentral.
GGUUCCUCGACCAAGGUCUGGACGACAACUAUUGCCGGAAUCCUGACGGCUCCGAGCGGCCAUGGUGCUACACUACGGAUCCGCAGAUCGAGCGAGAGUUCUGUGACCUCCCCCGCUGCGGGUCCGAGGCACAGCCCCGCCAAGAGGCCACAACUGUCAGCUGCUUCCGCGGGAAGGGUGAGGGCUACCGGGGCACAGCCAAUACCACCACCGCGGGCGUACCUUGCCAGCGUUGGGACGCGCAAAUCCCGCAUCAGCACCGAUUUACGCCAGAAAAAUACGCGUGCAAAGACCUUCGGGAGAACUUCUGCCGGAACCCCGACGGCUCAGAGGCGCCCUGGUGCUUCACACUGCGGCCCGGCAUGCGCGUGGCCUUUUGCUACCAGAUCCGGCGUUGUACAGACGACGUGCGGCCCCAGGGUGAGGCCCAAGCUUGGGGGAUACAGAGCCGGGGCUGGAAGCCUGGAACCGGAGGGCCGGGGCGAGGUCUCGGCCUGAUGGCUGCCCGCACCCGCCACAGACUGCUACCACGGCGCAGGGGAGCAGUACCGCGGCACGGUCAGCAAGACCCGCAAGGGUGUCCAGUGCCAGCGCUGGUCCGCUGAGACGCCGCACAAGCCGCAGUGAGUCCCUGGUGCUCCCGGCCCCGCCAGGGCCCUAACCCUGGGGCGGCAUGCUUUGGUGUCUGGGACCAGAGCCUGGAAAUGGUUGAGACUACCCUGCCACGAUUUUGCUCCC